CUACGGGUGGCUGCAGUGGGGAAUAUUGCACAAUGGGCGCAAGCCUGAUGCAGCCAUGCCGCGUGUGUGAAGAAGGCCUUCGGGUUGUAAGGCACUUUCAGCGGGGAGGAAGGCGGUGAGGUUAAUAACCUCAUCGAUUGACGUUACCCGCAGAAGAAGCACCGGCUAACUCCGUGCCAGCAGCCGCGGUAAUACGGAGGGUGCAAGCGUUAAUCGGAAUUACUGGGCGUAAAGCGCACGCAGGCGGUCUGUCAAGUCGGAUGUGAAAUCCCCGGGCUCAACCUGGGAACUGCAUUCGAAACUGGCAGGCUAGAGUCUUGUAGAGGGGGGUAGAAUUCCAGGUGUAGCGGUGAAAUGCGUAGAGAUCUGGAGGAAUACCGGUGGCGAAGGCGGCCCCCUGGACAAAGACUGACGCUCAGGUGCGAAAGCGUGGGGAGCAAACAGGAUUAGAUACCCCUGUAGUC
Molecule: ribosomal RNA, 464 nt
Filed under: uncultured Klebsiella sp.
Lineage: Bacteria; Pseudomonadati; Pseudomonadota; Gammaproteobacteria; Enterobacterales; Enterobacteriaceae
Description: bacterial SSU rRNA
Rfam family: Bacterial small subunit ribosomal RNA
Source: RNAcentral